UCCGGUUUGUCACCGGCAGUCUCAUUAGAGUGCUCAACUGAAUGUAGCAACUAAUGACAAGGGUUGCGCUCGUUGCGGGACUUAACCCAACAUCUCACGACACGAGCUGACGACAGCCAUGCACCACCUGUGAUCCUGCCCCGAAGGGAAACCGUGUUUCCACGGCGGUCAGGAACAUGUCAAGCCCAGGUAAGGUUCUUCGCGUUGCGUCGAAUUAAACCACAUGCUCCGCUGCUUGUGCGGGCCCCCGUCAGUUCCUUUGAGUUUCAGCCUUGCGACCGUACUCCCCAGGCGGAGUGCUUAAUGUGUUGACUUCGGCACAGCAGGGGUCGAUACCCGCUACACCAAGCACUCAUCGUUUACGGCGUGGACUAC
Molecule: unclassified non-coding RNA, 375 nt
Filed under: uncultured bacterium
Lineage: Bacteria
Description: contains 16S-23S intergenic spacer region
Source: RNAcentral